RNAcentral lists this non-coding RNA (120 nucleotides) under Desulfoscipio gibsoniae. RNAcentral's name for it is "Desulfotomaculum gibsoniae MoCo sequence". It matches the Rfam family "Molybdenum/Tungsten riboswitch aptamer (Moco RNA motif)". RNAcentral also lists the same sequence under 1 other name. The record is from RNAcentral. Lineage: Bacteria; Bacillati; Bacillota; Clostridia; Eubacteriales; Desulfallaceae.
ACUGUAAGAAAUCUCCGAGCCUUUCCACCUUUAGCUAUGGCAAUGGUGGCUAGGCCGUAAGGGUACUUUUGGGAAACCAUUGUGCCUCCCAUUGUGGAAAGGAGAGCAUGGUAUUGUCUG